This is a long non-coding RNA of Cyanistes caeruleus (blue tit), 549 nucleotides long. The record is from Ensembl. Lineage: Eukaryota; Metazoa; Chordata; Aves; Passeriformes; Paridae.
CUCACUUCAGGUAGUUUUGAGAUGAUCUGUAGACAUUUUCCCAUAUCCUUUUAAAAUUUAGUUCACAUAAAUCCAGAAAGACGAGUUCAGAACAUAGGAGGUUACCAUGGCCUUGGCAAGCUGAACCUGGCACAGUUUUUCACGUAUAUAAGGGGGAGAACAACUCUUAAGAGCACCACAGAUUCUGGGUCCUACAGGACUGUUUGCUAGCCUGUGGAUGAUGCUGCAAUAGUUCUGCAGAGAGCAACAGCCCAGCAGGAGCUGCUUCAGAAAGGGAUUGUCCAUGUGAGGGAUUUCCAGAGUGCUGGAACUAGACUGGAAGACCAUUGAGAGACAGCAAAGCUUCAGUGUAGCCUUCCCUUUGAAGGGGGAGAGGAGAGAGGAAUCACAUUAUUCGAUUUCUUAACAUUACCUUUGUGAUCUAGAAGAUGCAUUCUUGUUCUGUUUUCCUAACAUAAAGUUGCAUUAUGUCUAGAAAUUGGAGCGACUGUAAUGGGGAACUCCUAGCAGAUAAAUACUGCAAGUAGAAAGAGUAAGUGUACUUCAGAA